UCCGGGAUAGCUCAGCGGUAGAGCAGUCGCCUGUUAAGCGAUUGGUCGUAGGUUCGAUCCCUACUCCCGGAG
RNAcentral lists this transfer RNA (72 nucleotides) under Candidatus Parcubacteria bacterium. RNAcentral's name for it is "tRNA-Asn". It matches the Rfam family "tRNA". From Rfam's summary of the family: Transfer RNA (tRNA) molecules are approximately 80 nucleotides in length. Their secondary structure includes four short double-helical elements and three loops (D, anti-codon, and T loops). Further hydrogen bonds mediate the characteristic L-shaped molecular structure. tRNAs have two regions of fundamental functional importance: the anti-codon, which is responsible for specific mRNA codon recognition, and the 3' end, to which the tRNAs corresponding amino acid is attached (by aminoacyl-tRNA synthetases). tRNAs cope with the degeneracy of the genetic code in two manners: having more than one tRNA (with a specific anti-codon) for a particular amino acid; and 'wobble' base-pairing, i.e. permitting non-standard base-pairing at the 3rd anti-codon position. Lineage: Bacteria; Candidatus Parcubacteria. The record is from RNAcentral.